CUGCAUGGGGAAAGCUGUAGCACCUCCUACAAGAGACCUUAGCACCGUGUGCCAAAAGCCAAAACCACACGUGGCAAAUAGCCUCCUUCUUUGAUGGCAGAUACUGGGUUAUCUUGCAACGGACCUGCACUGAUGGCCCCAAUGGGCCAUCGCUCACCUGUCAGCCCAGAGCUCCAGAAGCUUUUCUGGGGAGGACCUCGGAAACAAAACUGCAGAGGGUUCUUUCUGCAUGGCACCUAUGUCCUCCAACGUCACGAGCUAGCGAGGGGGAGAGAGAGAGAGAGAGAGAGAGCCAAAGCUUCCAUCUGCUUGCCCCUGUUGCAGGCCAAGGGCAAGAGGCCUCAGAUGCUGUGUCUGUAUGAGGCCAGCUCUACGGAUACUCAGUAGAUGCAGUGAGUGAGUGGCUCAUAGUCUUCUUCUGAAGCAAAGAACCUUCCCCCCCACAAUCCACUGGUCCAGAGAGUCCCGCUCAACAUGGGCAUCCCACUAAGCGUGGGAGGUCAUCCUUUAUUUGCAUGCUCUCUGAGAACCACCAGGAAGGUGCAGAACCCGGAGGGAACUGAAGGACGUUCCCUGGGUGGCGGUGACUGCGUGUUCCCCAAGGGCCCAUAGUAAGACAGGAAGACACGUUUGCCUGCUCUGGAGCCUCCGGCUAAAGGAUGAGUGAAGAUACUCUGGAUUCCACAUGGCACACACCUCUCUUCAGGGCCGAGGUGUGGAAGCUUGGCCCCUGUAGGGACAAUGGAAGCGGAGGGCCUGAACCUACUGUCCUCAGGCAACAGGGUUGGGAAGCGCCAGAGGUCUGUCUGCCUGGUUCCUGGAGAGCCAGACCCAGAAGCUGUGCUCUUGAGCAAGAUGAGAAGCAAUUUCACACUACGAGGAGGUGCCUGGUCUGGGUCCUUCUGGGCAGGUCGUUCCCUUGUCCACGGUCAGUCUGAGGCCACUGCAGUAUGCGGCACUACUGCUUUGUGGUCGCUUCAGGCCCUGUCUCCUCUCCUGUGGGAAGGGAAAGGACAUCCGCCCCUACUGCCUUUGGUGAGACGCAUUGUGAGUGAAGGUCUGGUGGGUCAAACAUCUGCCCGCAUGCCGGUGUUCAACCGGGUGUUGAAGGCAGCGGUUCCUCUGCGUGAGCAUCUGGCCAGAAACGGCCAAGGCCAAGCGCCGAAGUUGGGGAAUUGCCCCACUCCCACGUUGUGAAGUGAGGUGACGGAUGGUGACGGUCGUGCCCAAGGACCCGGCCAGCAGCGCUUCCGCGGGCGUUCGCUCUUCACUCAGCAAAGUGAUGUCCAGGAGCUGUGGUGCAGCAAGAUGCGGGCGAGACUCUUUGCAGGCAGGUGCGUCCCUGUCAUGCAUUUUCCCAAGCUCAGGAGGGAAGGAGGAAAGAUACUUUGCCUUUGCGUGGAGCCACGUUUGAGAGGCCUCAGGGCCUUUGCCCACCUCAGGGCCAGCCCAGCAGGAAGUUCACAGGGGACACAGGGAGUGGUCCUCCAACCUCUGAAAAGAAAGAGGCUCUCUGGGAAAGCCUGUUGUCUCAAGAUGGCUCUGGGUGAUGCCUGCUCCAAGGACACACUGGAGAUGAUCCCUGAUUGACAGCUUCUCUGAGGAUGUGGAGGUGCUCACUCUCGCCCCCCUGAGGAAGCUGUAGGAACUCACCGGUGUGGCAGUUUCUACCACAUCCCGCCACCCCACCCCCCAGCACCCUUUAGGCUCCCAGGAUUGGCUGCUCCAGAGGUGCAGAAGAUGUCCUGGCCAAAGAGGAUCCUCUUCAGGGUCACCGCAUCCUAAAGGCGAUUCCCUGCUCCUGGCCUGAUCUCUGGACGCUGCUCUGCUUCCACUGGAGUCCCUGUGGUCACUGGGCACCUCAUUCUCCCAACGGUGACAUGUGGACAGUGUGUUCAAGGUCCCGUGCAACAGGUCUUGUGCCCAGCUCCGCUAUAGCCACUUGAACCAAAGAGUUCAGAGACAGCAUCGGCUCAUCUUGGCUUUCACGAUCCAGGAUUUGUGACAUUCCAGAGGUCAGGGGGGGUCCUAAAGGUCGUACGUAGUAGUUUCUCCACCAGGGACGUGUGGAAGCUUAUGUACUUUCACUGCAUAUAGCCCCACCCCCAGCUUCUUUGUGGCCGCUGAAUCCUAAGAAUUCAUGAAGAUCUCCUGUAUCUGUGCUGGUUGACUUUGCUCGUCCAAGCUACCUUUCGUUUGGUAUUUGGAAUCCUUGUUCUGGUAGUGUCCUUGAAAUGGGUCUUCUGAAUUUGAUGUUUUGCCCUCUUGUCGUGAGCUGAUCCCUUUUUGCUUGGCUGAUCAGGAGCACAUCUGAUGUCUUUCUCGUAAGUGGAAUGUUGCAGCCAAAUUGUGUGGUUUGACAUAUUGAGAUUCUGAUGGCGAGUGAUGAAGAGUAUAGUUUUCUCAAACUUCAGCACCGAGGGAGUCCUUGGAGGGCUGCUCGCAGAACCGCACUGCAUCCACUCUCAUUUCCGAGCCUCACCGAAUGGGGAAUGCAGAAGAGUGUGACCCUCUAGCAAGAAAGGAACCGAGCCUCCAAAAGAAAUAACUUUGUUGGGGCCACGGGAACACUUGUGGCAGAGGUCAGCGAGGAACAUAAGCGUGAGCCCAGGGUGUGCUCUUGAGUACGGCGAGGAGAAGGUCUCAUGCCUGCUAGAGAUCCGUGACCCGUUAUCCUUCUGGGCAAAGAGACAUUUUAUCCAUGGUCCAUCUGAGUCCACGGUGGUAAGCAGCCUCUGCUGUUCCGCGGUAAUCUCACGCGUGUCUCUCUUCCUCUUGGGGCAGAUGUCCACAUGCAUUGUGUGUACCAUGAGUUCCAAAGUGUUUGGCGUGAAGGUGCUGUGGGUCAACCAGGGCCUCAAAGGGUGGGUUGCUCUGCAUGUGGAAAGCUGUAGCACCUCCUACAAGAGACCUUAGCACCGUGUGCCAAAAGCCAAAACCACAAGUGGCACAUAGCCACCUCCUUCGAUAGCAGAGGCUGGGUUUUCUUGCAAAGGAACUGCCCAGAUGGCCCCUGCGGGCCAUCGCUCACCUGUCAGCCCAGAGCUCCAGAAGCUUUGCUGGGGAGGACCUCGGAAGCAGAACUGCAGAGGGUUCUUUCUGCAUGGCACUUAUGUCCUCCAACGUCACAAGCUAGCGAGGAGGAGAGAGAGAGAGAGACAGAGAGAGAGCCAAAGCUUCCGUCUGCUUGCCCCUGUUGCAGGCCAAGGGCAAGAGGCCUCAGAUGCAGUGUCUGUAUGAGGCCAGCUCUGCGGAUACUCAGUGCAGAUGCAGUGAGUGAGUGGCUCGUAGUCUUCUUCUGAAGCAAAGAAGCUUUUCCCCGACAAUCCACUGGUCCAGAGAGUCCCGCUCAACAUGGGCAUCCCACUAAGCGUGGGAGGUCAUCCUUUAUUUGCAUGUUCUCUGAGAACCACCAGGAGGGUGCAGAACCCGGAGGGAACUGAAAGACGUUCCCUGGGUGGCGGUGACUGCGUUCUCCCCGAGGGCCCAUAGAAAGACAGGAAGACACGUUUGCCUCCUCUGGAGCCUCCGGCUAAAGGAUGAGUGAAGAUACUCUGGAUUCCACAUGGCACACACCUCUCUUCAGGGCCGAGGUGUGGAAGCUUGGCCCCUGUAGGGACAUUGGAAGCGGAGGGCCUGAACCAACUGUCCUCAGGCAACAGGGUUGGGAAGCGCCAGAGGUCUGUCUGCCUGGUUCCUGGAGAGCCAGACCCAGAAGCUGUGCUCUUGAGCAAGAUGAGAAGCAAUUUCACACUACGAGGAGGUGCCUGGUCUGGGUCCUUCUGGGCAGGUCGUUCCCUUGUCCACGGUCAGUCUGAGGCCACUGCAGUAUGCGGCACUACUGCUUUGUGGUCGCUUCAGGCCCUGUCUCCUCUCCUGUGGGAAGGGAAAGGACAUCCGCCCCUACUGCCUUUGGUGAGACGCAUUGUGAGUGAAGGUCUGGUGGGUCAAACAUCUGCCCGCAUGCCGGUGUUCAACCGGGUGUUGAAGGCAGCGGUUCCUCUGCGUGAGCAUCUGGCCAGAAACGGCCAAGGCCAAGCGCCGAAGUUGGGGAAUUGCCCCACUCCCACGUUGUGAAGUGAGGUGACGGAUGGUGACGGUCGUGCCCAAGGACCCGGCCAGCAGCGCUUCCGCGGGCGUUCGCUCUUCACUCAGCAAAGUGAUGUCCAGGAGCUGUGGUGCAGCAAGAUGCGGGCGAGACUCUUUGCAGGCAGGUGCGUCCCUGUCAUGCAUUUUCCCAAGCUCAGGAGGGAAGGAGGAAAGAUACUUUGCCUUUGCGUGGAGCCACGUUUGAGAGGCCUCAGGGCCUUUGCCCACCUCAGGGCCAGCCCAGCAGGAAGUUCACAGGGGACACAGGGAGUGGUCCUCCAACCUCUGAAAAGAAAGAGGCUCUCCGGGAAAGCCUGUUGUCUCAAGAUGGCUCUGGGUGAUGCCUGCUCCAAGGACACACUGGAGAUGAUCCCUGAUUGACAGCUUCUCUGAGGAUGUGGAGGUGCUCACUCUCGCCCCCCUGAGGAAGCUGUAGGAACUCACCGGUGUGGCAGUUUCUAAAGCACCCCACCACCCCCACCGCCCCAAGCACCCUUUCGGCUCCCAGGAUUGGCUGCUCCAGAGGUGCAGAAGAUGUCCUGGCCAAAGAGGAUCUUCUUCGGGGUCACCGCAUCCUAUAGGCAAUUCCCUGCUCCUGGCCUGAUUUCUGGACACUGCUCUGCUUCAAUUUGAGUCCCUGUGGUCACUGGGCACCUCGUUCUCCUAAUGGUGACAUGUGGACAGUGUGUUCAUGGUCCUGUGCAGCGUGUCGCAUGUCUGGCUCUUCUAUAGAUGCUUGAACCAAUGAGUUCAUCGUUAGCGUCCACUCUCCUUUUCUUUUGGGAUCCAUAAUCUUUUAUUGUUAUGCAUUUGGAAUUCUAAUUUUAAUGCGUUGAAAUAUUUCCACAUCUUGACUAUAUUUGGAGAAAAUGCUUAUGGAGUUAAUUUUGUGGAAGUGAUAUCAUAUCCAUGGAGCCUUAAUAUGAUAGGAAUUUUUUUCCCUAAAAGGAAUUUUUCAGGUGUACCUGUUUGGCCCACUGGCCAGCUCAUGUGGCUCUUUAUCUGGUGUAUGAGUUAGUGCCCUAGUGGGCAUAGAGUAAUUAAAUAUAAGUAAAUAAAUAUUAUUUUAAAAAGAAGUGGAAGAGACACCAGAGAUCUCUGUGCAUGUAUAUACAGAGGAAACCUAUUACGUGCACAUAUGGGGAAGACCGCAUUCUCCAUGCCAGCAAGAGAGGCUUGUCUAAAUGCUGACGCUACUGGUUCUUUGAUUUUGGACAUAUACCAGCAGAAUUGUAAGAAAAUAAAUUUCUGUUUAUACGA
Long non-coding RNA from Neogale vison (American mink), 5349 nucleotides. RefSeq lists it as uncharacterized. The transcript is spliced from 6 exons. The record is from RefSeq and is a predicted model, not a curated record. NCBI's taxonomy places the organism in Eukaryota, Metazoa, Chordata, Mammalia, Carnivora, Mustelidae.